AGCAGCCGCGGUAAUUCCAGCUCCAAUAGCGUAUAUUAAAGUUGCUGCAGUUAAAAAGCUCGUAGUUGAAUUUCGGGACCAAUAUGUUGGUCGUGCCUCGGUACGUACUGGCAUCGUUGGUUUCUCCCUUCUGACGAACCAUGAUGUCAUUUAUUUGGUGUCGUGGGGAAUCAGGACUGUUACUUUGAAAAAAUUAGAGUGUUUAAAGCAGGCUCACGCUUGAAUACAUUAGCAUGGAAUAAUGAAAUAGGACGUUUGGUUCUAUUUUGUUGGUUUCUAGGAUCGACGUAAUGAUUAAUAGGGAUAGUUGGGGGCAUUAGUAUUCAAUUGUCAGAGGUGAAAUUCUUGGAUUUAUUGAAGACUAACUACUGCGAAAGCAUUUGCCAAGGAUGUUUUCAUUAAUCAAGAACGAAAGUUAGGGGAUCGAAGACGAUCAGAUACCGUCGUAGUCUUAACCAUAAACUACGCCGACUAGGGAUCGGAUGAUGUUAAUUUUUAAUGACUCAUUCGGCGCCUUACG
This 520-nucleotide ribosomal RNA is filed under the name uncultured Glomus. RNAcentral describes it as "SSU rRNA". It matches the Rfam family "Eukaryotic small subunit ribosomal RNA", at positions 569 to 1092 of the family's 1831-position model. Lineage: Eukaryota; Fungi; Glomeromycota; Glomeromycetes; Glomerales; Glomeraceae. The record is from RNAcentral.